GCAACAUGAAUUAACCGCUGAACAGAAUGGACUGUGUGCUGGGGCCGGAGCAUGUGCGGUCAUUUUCUCUACUUCCUGUGCCAAGAUAAUGUGCUUUUAUCAAAUGGAAGAGCUCAUGUACAGCUAAGCCCCACGUCUGCGUUGAUGGCCCCUUAAACACUGGUCAGAGUGCAAGGAUGCUCAGAGGAACACGAGGACCAAACCAACAUCAGCAGUCCAAGCUCCACGGUGAACUUAACUUAGCUCAGAAAUGACUGGUGGGAACAGGCGCAGGGAGUACGCCAAGGGAAGUCUUACUCCAAGUCACCUGUGUGCCACCAUUUCUCACCUCUCUGAGCUCCGUCAGGAAAGACACCACAUUCAAGUCCAGCCAAGCCCAUUAUCUUUUUUAUUAAGUGAAGCUCCAAAACAAGAUUAAUCCCUCUGAAUUUUAAGUUCCUACUCACGUUCACAUGAGGCUUUGGAUGCUCAAACCAGAUUCUAAACUUGAGUAAGAGCUGGCCUAGUGUCUCAGAUUUGAUGUAAAUGGCUGUGAAGAGCCUACGCUGAAGAUGCUGGUUCCCAAAAGCAGUCAUGAAUGACGUAUCUGGCGCAUGCUCCUGUGGGACACCUAAACAAAAUUUACUGUCCUUUCCAUCAAGAGUUACAUAAGAAAAUUUUAAAUAAAAGACUGAAGAAGUGCUUGGCAGAAAUUCUAAUUCCUCCAGGAUCAUGACUUCUUGAAAUCCAAAUGUGUGCUCAAGGUUGCAUACUCUGCUAACACAGAAAAAUGUGUUCUGCUUCUCAGUUGCAUCAGUUAGAUCAGCAGUCUUGCAAGGAUGUGAGCCGAAGCUCCAACCAGCCAGUCAAGGAGAAGCAUGGACUCCUUUGCAUUGGGAAUAAAGCCUAGCAGAACCCCACACAUGCAUACACACUGCACAUACUGGAUGCCUGUCCGCUUUGUUCAACAUGGCUAUGUACCCUUCUGAAAAAGUAAUAUUUUUGACCUUGAAAAAGAACUUGGGAUUGUGUGGUCAUUUGCUUAGACUCCAAUUUUCAGCCUUUACCACAAACCAGAGCUACUGUAAAAGCUUCUGUCUACAGGAAUCUUUGUGUGUCUGCAAAUACAGGUACAAAGAAUGGAAA
Molecule: long non-coding RNA, 1125 nt
Organism: Mesocricetus auratus (golden hamster)
Lineage: Eukaryota; Metazoa; Chordata; Mammalia; Rodentia; Cricetidae
Exons: 2
Source: RefSeq, a predicted model, not a curated record